AGCCCCGCAGGCUCUAACUCCAGCCCACCCCUCCAGUUUGUUCAACUGUCCAGGCAGGCAGGGCACCUUUCACUUCCUCCAAGGUACCAUGCUUCCUCCUGCUUUUGGUUAUUUCCCAGUUGCACGGUAAUUUCUGCCUUUCCCCCAUCCUCCUUCCAACGCAUGAACUUUGGUUAAGUCUUACUCAUCCUUUAGGUCACAAGCUGACCACCACUUCCUUAGGGAAACCCCCAUAGCUUCCCUUCAUCUUGCUCCUUAUACAUCAUUUCAAUUACUUCUAUUUAAAUAAAUCUGUCAGCACUACUAGACUCUAAGUUUGGCCAGAUUGCAGACCCUGUCCUUGUUAGGGACUCAUCACUGGUCCCUACACAGUGUCUGGCAUUCUAGUAAGGGCUGGACAAAUACUUGCUGAAUGAUGGAAUGAUUGACUGAAUGAAUCAAUGGAAGAUAAAUAAAGUGGGUAGCCAAAGGGGAAGCCUUGUGAGUGCAUAGCCAGUAAAUGAAUGAACAAAAGAACAGAAGCAAUGUUGGAAUAUUGCAGGGGAUGCGAUUUCUGGUUUCACUCUAUGUUUCAAAUUAUUUUUCUCGAGUGGUGUGUGGAAGCUUAAAUGCAAUGUCUGCACAAGGAACAACAGGGGACCGGAAGAAUGGAGCCCAUAAAAAUCUGUUAGGCAUGUAGGAACUUCACGGAUUAUAGUUUGUCUUUAUGUAAAGAAUGUCCUAAUACGAGGGGCUGAUUUUAAUAAAACUACAUGCAUUUAGGGAUGUCUGAGUGACUCAGUCUGUUUAGCAUCUGCCUUCAGUUCAGGUCACGAUCCCAGAGUCCUGGGGUCGAGUCCCACUUCAGGCUCCUUGCUCAACGAAGAACCUGCUUCUCCCUCUGCCCUCUGCUCUCUGUGUUUGUGUGUUCGUGCUCUCUCACUCUCUCUCUCUGACAAAUACAUAAAUAAAAUCUUAAAAAAAAAAAAAAACUAUAUGCAUUUAAAGAUAACGCAUGUCCCAUAGAUUUCAGUUCUUUUUUGUGGUCUUUCUUCCUAGUCACAGAAGUGAGAGGAUUGGUUGCCCAGAAGGCCGCAGCAGGGAACUCCCUUAUUUCCAUCAGAGUAGAAAGGGAUUGAGGGUCUGAGUGCUGGCAGUGCUUGUGUUACUGUGGGACUUGGGACAACUAGUCUGUCUGCUCUAGACCUCAAAUUCCGUAUUUGUUCAGUGAGAAAGUUGGGCCAGAUCCUAUCCAGUUUAAAGUUUUUUCUUUUUUUUUUAAUCUUAGUAUCCUUCAUUUUUCAUACAGUGUCUGCAAUAAAAGUGGGGAUCGACCAGUUUUUAUUAAAUGGAUAAGCCAAGCAUCGAGUGUUUCCCAUAGACGUAAUUUACCUGUGCCGCUCUCCUGCUCAGUCUGUUAGAUGAUGGUUUUUCAGAACCACAAGGGUUAUCCAGUAAGGUUGGCACAUUGCACAAACACUCAUUUUCCUCUUUCUUACUGUGUGUGGGAGACAGCCUCUAAGAUGGGGCCCUGUGACCAUGAGCUCAUCCUAUUCAUGUCCUCGUGGGAUCCCUUCCUCUAGAGUGUAGACUGGACAUACUGACGCACUUCUAAAGGCAGAAAAUAGCAGAAGUGAUGGGUCACCACUUCUGAGAUUAAGUUGUUUAAACCCGAGAUUCUGUUUUGUUCUCUCCC
Long non-coding RNA from Mustela lutreola (European mink), 1675 nucleotides. RefSeq lists it as uncharacterized. Lineage: Eukaryota; Metazoa; Chordata; Mammalia; Carnivora; Mustelidae. The transcript is spliced from 3 exons. The record is from RefSeq and is a predicted model, not a curated record.